CCUAGGGGAGGCAGCAGUAGGGAAUCUUCGGCAAUGGACGAAAGUCUGACCGAGCAACGCCGCGUGAGUGAAGAAGGUUUUCGGAUCGUAAAACUCUGUUGGUAGAGAAGAACGUUGGUGAGAGUGGAAAGCUCAUCAAGUGACGGUAACUACCCAGAAAGGGACGGCUAACUACGUGCCAGCAGCCGCGGUAA
This 194-nucleotide ribosomal RNA is filed under the name uncultured Lactococcus sp. RNAcentral describes it as "partial 16S ribosomal RNA". It matches the Rfam family "Bacterial small subunit ribosomal RNA", at positions 338 to 523 of the family's 1533-position model. The record is from RNAcentral. Lineage: Bacteria; Bacillati; Bacillota; Bacilli; Lactobacillales; Streptococcaceae.